AACGCGAAGAACCUUACCUGGGCUCGAACGGCUUCGGACCAUCCUUGGAAACAGGGACUUCCCGCAAGGGACUGGAGUCGAGGUGCUGCAUGGCUGUCGUCAGCUCGUGUCGUGAGAUGUUGGGUUAAGUCCCGCAACGAGCGCAACCCUCACCUUCAGUUGCCAUCAGGUUAAGCUGGGCACUCUGAAGGAACUGCCGGUGACAAGCCGGAGGAAGGCGGGGAUGACGUCAAGUCCUCAUGGCCUUUAUGGGCUGGGCUACACACGUGCUACAAUGGCGGUGACAGUGGGACGCGAAGGGGCAACCCUUGGCCAAUCUCAAAAAGCCGUCUCAGUUCGGAUUGUCCUCUGCAACUCGAGGGCAUGAAGCUGGAAUCGCUAGUAAUCGCGGAUCAGCACGCCGCGGUGAAUACGUUCCCGGGCCUUGUACACACCGCGAUA
RNAcentral lists this ribosomal RNA (441 nucleotides) under uncultured bacterium. RNAcentral's name for it is "bacterial SSU rRNA". It matches the Rfam family "Bacterial small subunit ribosomal RNA", at positions 958 to 1399 of the family's 1533-position model. The record is from RNAcentral.